Non-coding RNA from Lyophyllum atratum, 81 nucleotides. The record is from the annotation of a GenBank genome assembly. Lineage: Eukaryota; Fungi; Basidiomycota; Agaricomycetes; Agaricales; Lyophyllaceae.
GUCUCUGUCGAUUAGUGGUCAAAUCAUCUCGUUGUGGCGUGCUGCUCCGAGAAGCCGCAGGCUCGAAUCCUGCCAGGGACA